CGAAGGCCUUCUGAUCUUUGAUUUACAGCUGCUCUCAUGGAAGAUUUGUUCAAUAAUCCUCAGGAUUGCGGCAAAACACCCAAGGACAUAUUUGUCUACUCAGCUGUAGUCAGACACCUCCAUCUCCCCCAGGUAUGAAACUAUGGUUUCUUUUCCUUAUGUAGGAUGCUUCAUCAGCUUACCAGCAUUCCAGGAGAACUCUUCUUCUGUGACCUCCCACUGUGAGUCAGGGUAAAGAGCCUAUAAGGAAGCCUCUAGCCUCUUCCCUGGUGAAGAAAGGAAAGGGCCAAAGGGCAUUGCCUCCAGUCCUUGGAAAAAUAGCCAGGAUAAAAAAGGAGAGGCCAAGAAGUGUCCCCACCAGUCCUUGAUAAUAGAGAAGCAAGAGAAUGUCAUCUCCCCAGAGAUCCUAAGAGAAUUCCAGUGGAAUGCGAGCUUCCGGAGGUAGGAGACACACUUGCCCUUAUCCUCAGCCUCGUCCGUUUCUGAUUGGUGCUGCAUACCCAUUGUCAACUGAAUAAAUGAAUGCGUGAUCUAACAAGGCAAAAGUGAUUCAGACUGAUGGGUCAAAUAGGGCUCCUCCUGGGAUUGAAUUUUCCCUUCUCAAUAACACAAAGAGGUGAGUCUUCAGUGCUACAAGAAGGAAGCCAAGCUUGUUGGGUCUGGCACAAAGCAAACAUUUUUGCAUUGCCUGAAUUAUUUUAAAUAAUUGAAAACAUCAUUCUGAUGGUCCAUGCCACAAGGCACCAGGUAGUCAACUUAGGAAAAAUGAAGGGUUGUGGCUUGCAUUUCAACCUGGCCUAAGUAGCUGAUCA
Molecule: long non-coding RNA, 812 nt
Filed under: Mustela putorius furo (domestic ferret)
Lineage: Eukaryota; Metazoa; Chordata; Mammalia; Carnivora; Mustelidae
Description: lncRNA (ENSMPUG00000024717.1)
Source: RNAcentral